This 496-nucleotide ribosomal RNA is filed under the name uncultured bacterium. RNAcentral describes it as "partial 16S ribosomal RNA". It matches the Rfam family "Bacterial small subunit ribosomal RNA", at positions 28 to 507 of the family's 1533-position model. The record is from RNAcentral.
GAUGAACGCUGGCGGCGUGCCUAAUACAUGCAAGUCGAGCGAACAGACGAGGAGCUUGCUCCUCUGACGUUAGCGGCGGACGGGUGAGUAACACGUGGAUAACCUACCUAUAAGACUGGGAUAACUUCGGGAACCGGAGCUAAUACCGGAUAAUAUAUUUAACCGCAUGGUUCAAUAGUGAAAGACGGUUUUGCUGUCACUUAUAGAUGGCUCCGCGCCGCAUUAGCUAGUUGGUAAGGUAACGGCUUACCAAGGCAACGAUGCGUAGCCGACCUGAGAGGGUGAUCGGCCACACUGGAAGGGAGACACGGUCCAGAGGCCUACGGGAGGCAGCAGUAGGGAAUCUGCCGCAAUGGGCGAAAGCCUGACGGAGCAACGCCGCGUGAGUGAUGAAGGUCUUCGGAGCGUAAAACUCUGUUAUGAGGGAAGAACAAAUGUGUAAGUAACUAUGCACGGCUUGACGGUACCUAAUCAGAAAGCCACGGCUAACUACGUG